This is a long non-coding RNA of Homo sapiens (human), 859 nucleotides long. Ensembl annotates it as SLC9A3 antisense RNA 1. Its record names the gene SLC9A3-AS1. The record is from Ensembl. Lineage: Eukaryota; Metazoa; Chordata; Mammalia; Primates; Hominidae.
CCCAGUCCGCUGCUGCCCCUCCCUUUCACCUUCCAUCCAGCACUAAGGGAGUCUGGCCACGGCCUAAUAUAGGAGGGCUUGUGGAAGGAGACACCCACCCCCUCUUUCUGCACCUCUCCCCUCUUCCAUGCCACCCCCAGGCCAGGAGCCACCACAGCCCUGUCUGUGACUCUCAGCUCCCGAGGCUGGGCUCUUCCCCAGGGAAGCUGCAUGACCAUGGCCACAUACAGGAGGAGACCCUAAAACUCCAUUGGCCUCAUGUCCAGAACUGAAUCAGCCAGUGCCAGAGCCUGCUGCAGCCCCGACCCGGCAGAGCAAGCGGCUCUGCUACCUCAGCCACGUAGCUGAUGGCAUCCUUCAGGUUCAGCUCGUGGAAGACAUUCAGGAUCCGGUCUCGAGACUUCUGGGCCGACCGUCUCAUGAGGACCCUGCUGAGGAACUUCCUGUCGAAGUGGGACCACCUGUAGGGACAGACCUUGGGUGUGAGCCUCAGGUGACAGGCGCCCUAGAGCCCGCCGGACGCGUGGCCCGGCCCCUUCUCUCCUGAAUUUUGUUUGCUAUAGUGACCCUGUAGGCGCGUUUAAAAUGAGGGAAGCAGCCCCUGCCACACGCCCAGGCCGUCCGCCGUUCUCCCGCCUGUCCUGUUGGAUGGAGGCCGUUAGACGCAUAUGAAACUGCAUGCCGCCUCCUCCAGAGGGUGGCUCAGGACACGCCUAACGGAAUUAGAGUAUUCGCUGGUUAUCCAGAUCAGAAGGGACGGUGGCCUGGCCGGACUUAGAGGAAACUCUGGGGCACAAGGAGGUGAUGCCUGUCACUUGGACAUGGGUGCAGCCGCCAGAGCCGCCCUCCAGGGCACAGG